AGCGAACGCUGGCGGCAGGCUUAACACAUGCAAGUCGAGCGGGCAUCCUUGUGGUGUCAGCGGCAGACGGGUGAGUAACGCGUGGGAACGUGCCCUUCGGUUCGGAAUAACUCGGGGAAACUUGAGCUAAUACCGGAUACGUGCGAGAGCAGAAAGGUUUAUCUGCCGAAGGAUCGGCCCGCGUCUGAUUAGCUAGUUGGUGAGGUUAUGGCUCACCAAGGCGACGAUCAGUAGCUGGUCUGAGAGGAUGAUCAGCCACACUGGGACUGAGACACGGCCCAGACUCCUACGGGAGGCAGCAGUGGGGAAUAUUGGACAAUGGGGGCAACCCUGAUCCAGCCAUGCCGCGUGAGUGAUGACGGCCUUAGGGUUGUAAAGCUCUUUUCUUCGGGACGAUAAUGACGGUACCGGAGGAAUAAGCCCCGGCUAACUUCGUG
Molecule: ribosomal RNA, 437 nt
Filed under: uncultured bacterium
Lineage: Bacteria
Description: partial 16S ribosomal RNA
Rfam family: Bacterial small subunit ribosomal RNA
Source: RNAcentral